RNAcentral lists this ribosomal RNA (903 nucleotides) under Bacillus subtilis. Its description in RNAcentral is "bacterial SSU rRNA". It matches the Rfam family "Bacterial small subunit ribosomal RNA", at positions 9 to 873 of the family's 1533-position model. Lineage: Bacteria; Bacillati; Bacillota; Bacilli; Caryophanales; Bacillaceae. The record is from RNAcentral.
UUUAGAUUUUGAUCCUGGCUCAGGACGAACGCGGGCGGCGUGCCUAAUACAUGCAAGUCGAGCGGACAGAUGGGAGCUUGCUCCCUGAUGUUAGCGGCGGACGGGUGAGUAACACGUGGGUAACCUGCCUGUAAGACUGGGAUAACUCCGGGAAACCGGGGCUAAUACCGGAUGGUUGUUUGAACCGCAUGGUUCAAACAUAAAAGGUGGCUUCGGCUACCACUUACAGAUGGACCCGCGGCGCAUUAGCUAGUUGGUGAGGUAACGGCUCACCAAGGCAACGAUGCGUAGCCGACCUGAGAGGGUGAUCGGCCACACUGGGACUGAGACACGGCCCAGACUCCUACGGGAGGCAGCAGUAGGGAAUCUUCCGCAAUGGACGAAAGUCUGACGGAGCAACGCCGCGUGAGUGAUGAAGGUUUUCGGAUCGUAAAGCUCUGUUGUUAGGGAAGAACAAGUACCGUUCGAAUAGGGCGGUACCUUGACGGUACCUAACCAGAAAGCCACGGCUAACUACGUGCCAGCAGCCGCGGUAAUACGUAGGUGGCAAGCGUUGUCCGGAAUUAUUGGGCGUAAAGGGCUCGCAGGCGGUUUCUUAAGUCUGAUGUGAAAGCCCCCGGCUCAACCGGGGAGGGUCAUUGGAAACUGGGGAACUUGAGUGCAGAAGAGGAGAGUGGAAUUCCACGUGUAGCGGUGAAAUGCGUAGAGAUGUGGAGGAACACCAGUGGCGAAGGCGACUCUCUGGUCUGUAACUGACGCUGAGGAGCGAAAGCGUGGGGAGCGAACAGGAUUAGAUACCCUGGUAGUCCACGCCGUAAACGAUGAGUGCUAAGUGUUAGGGGGUUUCCGCCCCUUAGUGCUGCAGCUAACGCAUUAAGCACUCCCGCCUGGGAGACCCCGGGU